AAAACUGCUCCUUGAAUUAUGAGCUAACAAUUCCUGGAAUUGUCCCAGGUAAGUGGAAUGCUUGUUUAAAGCCAUACACACUACUAACACAUGGAGCUUCAUAAGUAGGAAGUGUUGCAGUAUCAUGCCACUCAAAUUAGGGCAAUGGAAAUUAACUUCAUUUGCUUUACAGCAAUGUUGAACUUGACCCCUUAAUGUAAAUGCAAGCCCCUUAAAAUUCACCUUUCAAGCACAUCUUGCAGCAAACACUUGCAGAAGUUUACUGAAGUCCUCAGAUAGUGUGAGAAUUCAGCAUAAGCCCUCUGCAAGUCAGAGGGAAGCAGAUGGCUCUGCAGACAGCAAACCUCAGGCAAAGGAAAGGAUGGAACAUACCUGGGCUUCUGCCUUACUCAGGUAAAACGGAGAAAGAAGGAGGGAUAAAGCAUGCUGCGUGCUCAGUAGCCUACAUUAAUUCAGGAGUGCUGCUUCUGGCUGCUGCAAAGAUGUGCUGAAUCAGUACAGACUUUUGGAGAAUGGCCAGGUGGCUCCCGGCCCAUUUGAAGAAGGCUGGUGGGUGAUCAGUCACUCUGCUGCUCAUCCCAAACAAAUGCAUGGCUGGUGGGAGAGCACCACCUGCUUUGCUGGCAGAAGCAAGUGAAUCUUCCUGUGUGCAGGCAGACACACUCCACAUCAAGUAUAAAAAAAAAAAUCUCUGGAAACGUUGAUCCUGUAAGUGUGAUAUAUGGAAAUGCCGCUUGCAUUCACCUUAGUUAUGCAAUU
This 759-nucleotide long non-coding RNA is filed under the name Pavo cristatus (Indian peafowl). RNAcentral describes it as "lncRNA (ENSPSTG00000016682.1)". Lineage: Eukaryota; Metazoa; Chordata; Aves; Galliformes; Phasianidae. The record is from RNAcentral.